RNAcentral lists this ribosomal RNA (443 nucleotides) under uncultured bacterium. Its description in RNAcentral is "partial 16S ribosomal RNA". It matches the Rfam family "Bacterial small subunit ribosomal RNA", at positions 338 to 795 of the family's 1533-position model. The record is from RNAcentral.
CCUACGGGUGGCAGCAGUGGGGGAUAUUGGACAAUGGGGGAAACCCUGAUCCAGCGACGCCGCGUGAGUGAAGAAGUAUUUCGGUAUGUAAAGCUCUGUCAGCAGGGAAGAAAGAAAUGACGGUACCUGACCAAGAAGCCCCGGCUAACUACGUGCCAGCAGCCGCGGUAAUCCGGAGGGGGCAAGCGUUAUCCGGAAUUAAUGGGUGUAAAGGGAGCGUAGACGGCGAGGUAAGCCUGACGUGGAAGCCCGCGGCCCAACCGCGGAACUGCGUUGGGAACUGUUUGGCUGGAGUAUGGGAGGGGUAGGCGGAAUGCCUGGUGUAGCGGUGAAAUGCGUAGAUAUCAGGAGGAACACCGGUGGCGAAGGCGGCUUACUGGACCAUAACUGACGUUGAGGCUCGAAAGCGUGGGGAGCGAACAGGAUUAGAUACCCCUGUAGUC